GAUGGAAAUGGGAAGAUGAAGCCUUGGUGGGCGAGAUCAAAUCGGCAAAAGCCAGGAGCAGCUUGUUUGUUUUCUAAGUGAGAUCACUAUCAAGCUGCGCUCUCAUAGUACACUGCACUCUCUUGCAGAUUCGAUUUGCUCAGAUUCC
Molecule: non-coding RNA, 148 nt
Organism: Caenorhabditis elegans
Lineage: Eukaryota; Metazoa; Nematoda; Chromadorea; Rhabditida; Rhabditidae
Source: Ensembl